RNAcentral lists this ribosomal RNA (492 nucleotides) under uncultured bacterium. RNAcentral describes it as "partial 16S ribosomal RNA". It matches the Rfam family "Bacterial small subunit ribosomal RNA", at positions 29 to 507 of the family's 1533-position model. The record is from RNAcentral.
AGUGAACGCUGGCGGCAUGCCUAACACAUGCAAGUCGAACGGCAGCACCGUGCUUGCUUGCUCCUACAGGUGGCGACUGGCGGGUGAGUCAUGGGUACAUCGGAAUCCACUUUUUCGUAGGGCUUGACGUCGGGGCACAUACCCUAAUACCGCAUACGUCCUACGGGUGAAAGCAGGGGAUCUUCCGAUCUUGCGUGAUCGAACGACCCGUCGGCGGAUUAGCUAGUUGGGGGGGUACCGGGCCACCAAGGCGUCGCUCGGUAGCUAGUCUGAGAGGAUGGUCGGCCGCAUUGGAGCUGAGACACGGUCCAGACUCCUACGGGAGGCAGCAGUGGGGAAUAUUAGACAAUGGGCGCAAGCCUGAUCCAGCCAUACCACGUGUGAGACGAAGGCCUUGGGUUUGUAAAGCCCUUUUGUUGGGAAAGAAAAGCAGUAGGUUAAUACCCCGCUGUUGUGACGGUACCCAAAGAAUAAGCACCGGCUAACUACGUG